RNAcentral lists this long non-coding RNA (787 nucleotides) under Cercocebus atys (sooty mangabey). RNAcentral describes it as "lncRNA (ENSCATG00000045397.1)". Lineage: Eukaryota; Metazoa; Chordata; Mammalia; Primates; Cercopithecidae. The record is from RNAcentral.
AGUGGCACAGAGAGGGUGAGCAGGGGCAGAGUGGCACAGAGAGGGUGAGCAGGGGGCAGAGUGGCACAGAGAGGGUGAGCAGGGAGCGUUUCAGUGUUUUUCUCUGGGCAGGCUGAUGGUGCCUUUCUCUGGGCCUAAAAUUCCUAAAAGUUUGGUAUUUGAUUUUUUAAAAGUUCUUCCUAGUUUCUGACCCCCACACACCCACCCCCUCCAGUCCCUGGGCCCCAGUUCCUGAGACUGUGUCAGAUCCCAGCCUCUUGCCUCUGCCCAUCGGGCCCAGCCCGGGAUGCCCUGCUGUCCUGCUGUCCUUGACGUGGCGUUGCGGGGCAGGUCUGUUCCAGGAGAAGCCCCACAGCCUGCAGAACAACAUCCGGACGUCCCUGGAGAAGAAGAGGCGAGGCUCGGGGGUUCCCUGGGCCAGCCGGCCUGAGGCCACCCUGCAGGAUUUCCUGGGCACCGUGUACCUCUCUAAAGUGAAGAGUCAAGGCCACCCCGCUGUCUACAGGCUCUCCCUCAAUGCCAGCCUGCCUGCUCCUUGGCAGGCUGUGUCACCUGGGGAUGGAGAGGUGCCCUCCUUCCAGUAGGGCUGCUCCAGGCGGCGAGCCCCUCCCGCAAGUGGAUGCUGACGACCUUGGCCUGUGAUGCCAAGCGGGGCUGGAAGUUUGACUUCAGCUUCUACGUGGCCACCAAGGAGCAGCAGCACACCCGGUAACAAAGCCUGGCAGACAAGCCCGUGCCCAUCAGCCCGGCUGCUUCUUUUCUCUCUUUUCUCUCUCUUUUCACAUAG